GCCUUCGUGGUGUAAUGGUUAGCACACUGAGCCGGUAUUUCAGAGGUCCGUGGUUCGAUUCCCGGCGAAGGAA
Stegodyphus mimosarum is the source of this 73-nucleotide non-coding RNA. The record is from Rfam. NCBI's taxonomy places the organism in Eukaryota, Metazoa, Arthropoda, Arachnida, Araneae, Eresidae.